UUUUUUGCUGUUGUUGUUUUUUUGUUUGUUUGUUUGUUUGUUUUAAGUGCCUCAGUAAGAGUAAGUUUACAAUCAGUAAAAUCCAGAGUGUGGAAUCUCUAGACCCAAGGGUUCCAAGAUCCUCAACAGCCAAACUGUAAGAAAAAGGGAUAGAGAAAAACCUAAAGACUUAAAAGAUCUAAGUUUAAAUUUUAAAAAUAGGGAAAUUCUAGGUUCAGGGAUGCACAUGUGGGUAAUAAACCUGAAGAAAUGUAAGAAAGUAUUAGUCAGGAGAGCAGUUAUUUUUGGAAGGGUGAAAAGUAUGUUUUUAUGGUAACAUUGGAGAGACUUCUAGGUGACUGACAAAGAUUUUUUCAGCCAUGUGCACGGCAUGUGGAAGUCUCCAAGCCAGGUAUCGAACCCCUGCCACACCAGCAACCCAAGGGCUGCGGUGACAACACUGGAUCCUUAACCUGCUGUACCACAAGAGAACCCCAACAAAGAUAUUUCUUGACUUGUGUGGUGGCUUCAGAGGUAUCUGCCUUACAUUUAGCUUCAUGGUUGUUUUGAGUGGUACUCCACGUCUAUAUCUCAUUUUACAACAAAAAAGCUUUUUGAGGAAAGACUCAUUCCCGGCCAUUUCUCACUUGUCUGUGUAAUGCUUAUCUGCAGGCAGGCAUGCUUCAAUCUUUAGCUGGCACUUUUCUGCCACUCAGUACAAUUCUGUAACAUGCUUCUUCCACUAGAUGCUGCAUGAUCAGAGAAUGCAUUCUAAUUUUCAGAUUAGCUUAAGAAAAACAUGAAUAGAAGGUUUUAAGUAUUGCCAACAAUAACUUCUGUAAUGCAUUCCAGCACCAACUAUAAAUUCUAAAUUGUUUGCUCUAUCAGCUGUUUUAGAUUAUGUGCAUUGCCAUUAUCCCUCAACGGCAUAGACAGUGAAAAGUGAAAACUUCGUUUUCCUAAGAAAAAUAAAAAAAGCCCUAAUAUUCUUACAUAAGGCCUGAAAUUUCAUGAAUUCGCUGGACACAUUUAUAAUCUUUAUAAAUUCUAGCUGCAGGCAGUUUUGGCUUGAGUAUUACCAAGAUUCUUAAUCUGUGCUGACAUUUGAACACUUAAAACAUCUGGGGGGAUGGUGGGGGGCCUAGAUCAAGGCUAUUUACAUCAUCCACCUUCUCUCAGUUGUACAAACUAUUACGGAGUCUGGCACAUGAGCUGUUAACGCAGUUGAUCACCAGCGGUGGUAGUCUAUGGUCUAGGGAAAAAAAAGCCACACGGGUAGCCUAGUGGGUACCUGCAUGGGCACCAGUUCCCAAGGUGAUGCUUUUCAUUCCAAAGUCAGUAUCUUCAUUCUCGCCUUACAUUCAGAAACCAUGCCCCACCCCCCACUAAGCACAGGCAGAAAUACACAGUCUCCCUCUAACCCUCAGCCUCCUGCAGAUCUAGAUGAAGGCACAGGAAAUGUCUGCUUCAGCAGAGACCAGUGAGCCAAGACAACCUCGGGAAAAGUAAACUCUCUCCCUUCAUGGGUUCUGUUACCCUCAGGCCCCGCACAGAGGUGACUCUGAAGUGCUAUGCUCUUCCUUAAGGAUAAAAGAGCUGCUCAAAUAGCACCCCCAUGUCCUUUUUGUAUUUCUGUAAGAGAAGACCUGAAGGAUGGGUUCUAGAAAAUUUGUUACUAUGUAAAGUGUCCAACUUACAGGUAUUUCUCUAAAGGAAUGGAAAUCAAGAUAUUUACCAAAGUACAAUUGAUUUACAUCAUAUUAGCUUUGGGUGUACAAUAUAGAAUAUAAUCUGUAAAAUAGCGAAUUACUAUUUCAAAUUAUCAUAAAAUAUUUGAUAUAUUCCUUGGACUGUACAAUACAUCCCUAUAGCUUAUGUUAUACUAGUAAUUCGUACCUCUUAAUCCUCUACACCUAUCUUGCCCUUCCCCAGCCCCUACCUCUCCCCACCAGCUACUGGUAACCAUUAGUUUGUUCUCUGUAUCUGUGAGUCUCUUUUUUUAUAGUCAUCUGUUUAAUUUUUUAGAUUCUACAAGUGAUAAGAACAUUUGUCUUUGUCUUACCUCACUAAGCAUAAUACCCUCCUACCCCAUCUAUGUUGCUACAAGGGGCACAAAUCUCAUUCUUUUUUAUGGUAUUCCAUUGUUCGUAUGUGCUUGUGUUCAUUCUUUAUCCAUUCAUCUGUUGGAUACUUAGGUUGCUUCCACAUCUUGGCUGCUAUGAACACUGUGGUGCAUGCAUCUUUUCAAAUUCAUGUUUUCAUUUUCUUUGGAUAUGUACCCAGGAGUGGAAAUGCUAAAUCAACUCAGUAGUUCUUUAGUUUGAGGAACCUCCAUACUGGCUUCACUCAUUUACAUUCCCAUGAACAGUGUACCAUGGUUCUCUUUUCUCCAUGUCCUCGCCAACAUUUUUUGUGUUCUCUUCACUGAUAGUCAUAUGGACAAGUGUAGGUGAUUUCUCAUUGUAGUUUUAAUCUGCAUUUCUCAGAUUUUGCAAAUCAUGUCACAUCUGCCUGCAGUUUGGGAUCCAGCAGAAGAGUCUAAAAGUAAUGUAUAAUUGUUAUACUUGAAUAGAACAGAAAGCAGCACUAAAAUAAUGACUAGAAUUGAAAUGACUCUGUUGUUGUUCAUUUCUUUAAUUCCCAUCACUGCAGAGCAGUAAAUAGUUAAAUAUGGUUCAUAUAAGUCACCUACUAUCUCUGGGCAUUACUGAUGUAUUAUAUACAUAUGGCUGUGUACUAUUAUUAUUAUAUACCACACACUAUAUAUAAUACUUAUAUCCUGAUGGCAUGGUAGCUGAGAGUUCAAAAUAUGGCAAAAUGAGCUACAUUUUUUCCUGACUUUCUUCCAGUGGUCUUUCUUUAUUCUGCUUUUGCCUUUCAAUAACCAUGUCAAGAGAAAGACCAUGAGGUCACACACAUUAUUAUCGUCAUGUAACCCUUUUAUAUUUCUUCCAUCAAGAUUUAUCAGCAUUGCAUUCAAGGUUCAAAGAACUGGCCUUUCCCCUUACAUUUCAUUUGUACCCAGAGUGCUUAUGCCCAGGGUACAAAUUCAAUAUGAAACCACUGGGUGUAUAAAUGAGUAAAUCUUCCCAUCCAUAAAGACCUUGCUGGGAAAAUACCACACUGUGACAACAGAAAAUACAUCCAGCACAGGAAAGGGUAGUAGGGGUGUGUUGGUGUGUAGAACAAGUAACUGCAUAAAGAGAAAACACCUUUGCGUCCUAAGUAGGGAGAAAUCAAGAAGGAGGGGAUCGCAAAAGCUAGAGUAACCACGAGAAACCUUGAGACACGAGUAAGACUCAGUAAAGUGAGAACAGAAUGGAGACGAGGAGCCACAUGGAGGUGUGAGGGGGCAAUCCCAGAGAGCACAGAAUGGUCAAAAGCAGCCCCAUGAAUUGGGAGACAGAAAUCAUUUGCCCAAUAGUAGUGGGACCCCAAGACCACGGAGAGGUCAGACAUAUGAAGGUCCAUUUCCAAUUCCAAAUCAGAACAGGGGGUCUGACAAAACAAAAAACAGUGUAGCCCAAGGGUAAAGAGCUCAGCAUCGGGGGGAGGGAUGGGCUGGGGGUUUGGGAUGGAAAUGUUGUGCAACUGGGUUGUGGUGAUGGUUGUACAACUAUAAAUAGGAAAAAAUUCAUUGAGUUUAAAAAAAAAAAAAAGAGCUCAGGGUUGAAAUCAGACUUGAGACCAAAACCCAAAACCCAGCUUCACAUUCACAGGCUCUCUGUCCUCCAACGGCUUGCUAAACCUCUGUGUCUCAUUGCCUGGAAUCAUAAUGCGAAGUGACAAGGUCAUUGUGGGGCCUCAAGGAGACAGCGCUAAGGUGCCCUCCCAGGAACACAGAAUACUCAAUUUGUUAGCCAUCAUUACACACAGAACACUAAUGGGACAAAAUAUUCAGUUUAAAAUUCUCCUAGAAAAAAAAAAA
RNAcentral lists this long non-coding RNA (3907 nucleotides) under Sus scrofa (pig). Its description in RNAcentral is "lncRNA (ENSSSCG00015014605.1)". Lineage: Eukaryota; Metazoa; Chordata; Mammalia; Artiodactyla; Suidae. The record is from RNAcentral.